UACGGGGGGGGCAAGCGUUGUUCGGAAUUACUGGGCGUAAAGGGCUCGUAGGCGGCCAACUAAGUCAGACGUGAAAUCCCUCGGCUUAACCGGGGAACUGCAUCUGAUACUGGAUGGCUUGAGUUCGGGAGAGGGAUGUGGAAUUCCAGGUGUAGCGGUGAAAUGCGUAGAUAUCGGGAGGAACACCAGUGGCGAAGGCGGGCAUCUGGGCCAACACUGACGCUGAGGCGCGAAAGCUAGGGGAGCAAACAGG
Molecule: ribosomal RNA, 253 nt
Filed under: uncultured bacterium
Lineage: Bacteria
Description: partial 16S ribosomal RNA
Rfam family: Bacterial small subunit ribosomal RNA
Source: RNAcentral